This 1519-nucleotide long non-coding RNA is filed under the name Homo sapiens (human). RNAcentral describes it as "HSALNT0217261". The record is from RNAcentral. Lineage: Eukaryota; Metazoa; Chordata; Mammalia; Primates; Hominidae.
UCUCCAUGUACCUCUUUCUACACCUCCCUCCCAAAUGAAGGAAGAAAAAAAAAGAAGGGAGGGAAAAGAACACAGCCCUGUGAUGGAGGAGCACCCUGAUCCCUUCGCUGCAGAUGAGGACACAGGCUCACAGAGGGUCCGAGAUCUUACAGCUGGUGAGGGGCAGAGCAAAACGCCAACCUAUUCCUGUUGGAUUCCAAAGUUUAUACUUUAAUCGUUCGUCUAGCAGAUUCUUACAACAAUCCUGGGAGGUGUGUAUUCAGUUGUCACUUUGCAGAUAAACUGAUACUCAGCAAAGAGACUACAUAGUGACUACCGCUUAUAGGGCACUGCACAGUCUGCAAAGCAGUUUUACAUGUUGUUUCAUUUGAUCCUCAAAACAUCUUGGAAUUAAAGAUGAUUUUUCUUAGUCCUAUUUUACAGGUGAAUAAAGUGAGGCUUGGGGAGGUUGAGGCUUAGCCAUAGCUAACAUUGCUAAAGCUCUGGCAGGAGUUACUCUUUCUCCUUCUCACUGGCUGGCCCAGCCUUGACCUUGUGAUGAUGAUGAUGACGUGCUAGGGGACAGAGCCACAGCACAGAAGGUGCCGAAUGCUACCUGCCGACUUGGGACACUCACUUCAUACUCUUAUGUGAAAAAGAAAUGAUCUUCUCCGUUCUUUUUAUUACUAAUUUUGAUAGCAGGGAGGGCUGUUAGAGCCAACCCUGCACUCACACAACACUGAGGAAGAAAGCCUUAAAUUUUGUACCCUGGGUGCCUCACUUUGCUUCAUUCUAGUCCUGACCCUGCUUAAUACACAUUUAUCCAAGGAAUGAGUCACUCACUUAAGCUUUACAAGACUGUGUAAUUUCUUUUGCUGAUAUUGCCAGUGCAAGUUCUUUGAUUGCAAGUCUUAAGAAUCAAUUCUGGCUAACUUUACCUGAAAAGGAUUUUAUUGGCAGGCUAGUGUCUAACUCACAGAGGUAACACGAAGCUGGAGAAUCAGGCUUAGAAAAGGUUAGAAAGCGGAGAUGUUUUGAGAGUUUAGGCAGGCAAGUGAAUCAAUUCCAUGUUUUUUUUCCCUUUCUUGACCAGAGCUUUCUUUGAUGAGUCAAAGUCCCUGGAGCAAGGGUUCAAUUGGCUGAGCUCAGGUAACAUGUCCACACUUUAGCUAAGGAGGGCAGGCACCUUGAUGGACAGCUCCACCAAGACUGCACAGGAGUGCAAAGUUGCAGAUCCCUCUUCCUCCACCUCAGCUGCUCCCAGUGGGCAACUAAGUUCAGGUGCCCUGUUUUCAGGCUGGGAUCAAAUAGGAGGAGUUCCUGCAGUGGAAUGUCAUGAUUACACAAAUGCAAUUGUGUCUGGCAUGUGGGAGAGCAUAGCAGAUAUCCUGAGCUUUGUAACCUUAUAGACCUUUGUGCUAUUUACCAGCUGUUUGUCCCUGGGUAAGUUACUAGAUCUCUCUGAGCCUGUCUCCUUGUGUGUACAAUGGGGAGAAUAACAGUACCAGCCUUAAUGGAUUGUUGUGAGAAGUGAGAUCAC